GAUGAACGCUAGCUACAGGCUUAACACAUGCAAGUCGAGGGGAAACGGCAUCGAAAGCUUGCUUUUGAUGGGCGUCGACCGGCGCACGGGUGAGUAACGCGUAUCCAACCUGCCCAUCACUUGGGAAUAACCUUGCGAAAGUAAGACUAAUGCCCAAUGACAUCCCACGAAGGCAUCCGAAUGGGAUUAAAGAUUUAUCGGUGAUGGAUGGGGAUGCGUCUGAUUAGCUUGUUGGCGGGGUGACGGCCCACCAAGGCAACGAUCAGUAGGGGUUCUGAGAGGAAGGUCCCCCACAUUGGAACUGAGACACGGGCCAAACUCCUACGGGAGGCAGCAGUGAGGAAUAUUGGUCAAUGGGCGAGAGCCUGAACCAGCCAAGUAGCGUGCAGGAUGACGGCCCUAUGGGUUGUAAACUGCUUUUAUAAGGGAAUAAAGUGGGUCACGUGUGACUUUUUGCAUGUACCUUAUGAAUAAGGACCGGCUAAUUCCGUG
Molecule: ribosomal RNA, 492 nt
Filed under: uncultured bacterium
Lineage: Bacteria
Description: partial 16S ribosomal RNA
Rfam family: Bacterial small subunit ribosomal RNA
Source: RNAcentral